This 74-nucleotide transfer RNA is filed under the name Camelus bactrianus (Bactrian camel). It matches the Rfam family "tRNA". From Rfam's summary of the family: Transfer RNA (tRNA) molecules are approximately 80 nucleotides in length. Their secondary structure includes four short double-helical elements and three loops (D, anti-codon, and T loops). Lineage: Eukaryota; Metazoa; Chordata; Mammalia; Artiodactyla; Camelidae. The record is from Rfam by way of RNAcentral. RNAcentral also lists the same sequence under 2 other names.
GAGGGUAUAGCUCAAAAUGCUAGAGUGCAUACCUAGCAUGUCCAAGGUCCUGGGUUCAAUCCCCAGUACCUCCU